CCUUAACGCUGGCGGCAGGCCUAACACAUGCAAGUCGAGCGGAUGACGGGAGCUUGCUCCUUGAUUCAGCGGCGGACGGGUGAGUAAUGCCUAGGAAUCUGCCUGGUAGUGGGGGACAACGUUUCGAAAGGAACGCUAAUACCGCAUACGUCCUACGGGAGAAAGCAGGGGACCUUCGGGCCUUGCGCUAUCAGAUGAGCCUAGGUCGGAUUAGCUAGUUGGUGAGGUAAUGGCUCACCAAGGCGACGAUCCGUAACUGGUCUGAGAGGAUGAUCAGGUCACACUGGAACUGAGACACGUCCAGACUCCUACGGGAGGCAGGCAGUGGGGAAUAUUGGACAAUGGUCGAAAGCCUGAUCCAGCCAUGCCGCGUGUGUGAAGAAGGUCUUCGGAUUGGAAAAGCCUUUAAGUUGGGAGGAAGGGCAGUAAGUUAAUACCUUGCUUGUUUUGACGUUACCGACAGAAUAAGCACCGGUUAACUCUUUGCCAGCGGCCGGGGUAAUCAAAGGGUGCAAGCGUUAAUCGGAAUUACUGGGCCGAAAAGCCCCCCGAGGUGGUUCGUUAAAUUGGAUUGAAAACCCCGGGCUCAACCUGGGAACUUGCUUCAAAAAUGGCGAACUUAAGACCGGUAAAGGGGGGGGGAAUUUCUUUGGGGCGGGUAAACUCCUUAAUUUUGGGGGGAGCCCCGGGGGGAGGCCGCCCCUUGGCUGGAACUUACCCUUAGUGACAAACGUUUGGGGACCAACAAGUAAAAAAUCCCGGGCGCCCUCCCCGAAACAAUUCAAACUCCCCGGGGACCUUUGAAAUUUAUGGGGCCCCCCUGCCCAAAAAGAGGCCCCCCCUGG
RNAcentral lists this ribosomal RNA (845 nucleotides) under Pseudomonas sp. SENDO2. Its description in RNAcentral is "partial 16S ribosomal RNA". It matches the Rfam family "Bacterial small subunit ribosomal RNA", at positions 28 to 873 of the family's 1533-position model. Lineage: Bacteria; Pseudomonadati; Pseudomonadota; Gammaproteobacteria; Pseudomonadales; Pseudomonadaceae. The record is from RNAcentral.